This 224-nucleotide ribosomal RNA is filed under the name uncultured bacterium. RNAcentral describes it as "partial 16S ribosomal RNA". It matches the Rfam family "Bacterial small subunit ribosomal RNA", at positions 524 to 746 of the family's 1533-position model. The record is from RNAcentral.
UACGUAGGGGGCUAGCGUUGUCCGGAAUUAUUGGGCGUAAAGAGCUCGUAGGCGGUUUGUUGCGUCGGCUGUGAAAUCCCGAGGCUCAACCUCGGGUCUGCAGUCGAUACGAGCAAACUAGAGUGUUGCAGGGGAGACUGGAAUUCCUGGUGUAGCGGUGAAAUGCGCAGAUAUCAGGAGGAACACCGGUGGCGAAGGCGGGUCUCUGGGCAACAACGUGACGC